CGGGUGUAGCUCAGUCGGUUAGAGCGCUAGAUUGUGGAUCUAGAGGUCGUGGGUUCGAUUCCCAUCACU
Molecule: transfer RNA, 69 nt
Filed under: marine eukaryotic metagenome
Rfam family: tRNA
About the family: Transfer RNA (tRNA) molecules are approximately 80 nucleotides in length. Their secondary structure includes four short double-helical elements and three loops (D, anti-codon, and T loops).
Source: RNAcentral